This 301-nucleotide ribosomal RNA is filed under the name uncultured bacterium. RNAcentral describes it as "partial 16S ribosomal RNA". It matches the Rfam family "Bacterial small subunit ribosomal RNA", at positions 509 to 807 of the family's 1533-position model. The record is from RNAcentral.
CAGCCGCCGCGGUAAUACGUAGGGUGCAAGCGUUAAUCGGAAUUACUGGGCGUAAAGCGUGCGCAUGCGGUUCGUUAGGACAGAUGUGAAAUCCCCGGGCUCAACCUGGGACCUGCAUUUGUGACUGUAUAGCUAGAGUACGGUAGAGGGGGAUGGAAUUCCGCGUGUAGCAGUGAAAUGCGUAGAUAUGCGGAGGAACAUCGAUGGCGAAGGCAAUCCCCUGGACCUGUACUGACGCUCAUGCACGAAAGCGUGGGGAGCAAACAGGAUUAGAUACCCGGGUAGUCCCUGUCUCUUAUAC